AGUGAUUGUUUUUAAUGGUUUGGUUGCUUGAAUUCGCAUAAUAGGUUGGUUAGGAAUAUGAAAGCUAACAACCUUAUGAAAACAAUCAAUUUUUGCAUGAUGAGUAGUUAACCAAUCAAUCCCUAGAAUCACAUCAAAUGCAAGUAUUUUUAAUGAAAUAAGAUCGACAGGUAACGUGCGGUUACCAAUUUGAAUCAAACAAGACUUAUAAACAGUGGAUGUAAUGAAGGUUUCUCCCAACGGAGUUUCCACAAAUAAGUCAAAGUCUAAUUUCUUCG
RNAcentral lists this long non-coding RNA (278 nucleotides) under Panax ginseng (ginseng). RNAcentral describes it as "long non-coding RNA (PGIN_LNC013281)". Lineage: Eukaryota; Viridiplantae; Streptophyta; Magnoliopsida; Apiales; Araliaceae. The record is from RNAcentral.